Molecule: ribosomal RNA, 665 nt
Filed under: uncultured bacterium
Lineage: Bacteria
Description: bacterial SSU rRNA
Rfam family: Bacterial small subunit ribosomal RNA
Source: RNAcentral
AUGCUUAACACAUGCAAGUCGAACGUGCCUUCGGGCAAGUGGCAGACGGCUGAGUAACGCGUGAGUAACACACCCUUCGGUGGGGUAUAGCCUCGGGAAACUGAGGGUAAUCCCGCAUACGAUCCCUACGCUCUGGUGUAGGGAUGAAAGCCUUCGGGCGCCGGAGGAGUGGCUCGCGUCCUAUCAGGUAGUUGGUGAGGUAACGGCUCACCAAGCCGAUGACGGGUAGCUGGUCUUAGAGGAUGAUCAGCCACACCGGGACUGAGACACGGCCCGGACUCCUACGGGAGGCAGCAGUGGGGAAUAUUGCACAAUGGGCGCAAGCCUGAUGCAGCAAUGCCGCGUGUGUGAAGAAGGCUCUAGGGUUGUAAAGCACUUUCAAUAGAGAAGAAAAGCUUGAAAUUAAUACUUUCAAGCCUUGACGUAACCUAUACAAGAAGCGCCGGCUAAUUCCGUGCCAGCAGCCGCGGUAAUACGGGAGGUGCGAGCGUUAAUCGGAAUUACUGGGCGUAAAGCGAGCGUAGGCUGUUAAUUAAGUCGAAUGUGAAAUCCCCGGGCUCAACCUGGGAACUGCAUCCGAAACUAUUUAACUAGAGUAUGGGAGAGGAAAGUAGAAUUUCCGGUGUAGCGGUGAAAUGCGUAGAUAUCGGAAGGAACACCAGUGG